RNAcentral lists this ribosomal RNA (347 nucleotides) under uncultured bacterium. Its description in RNAcentral is "partial 16S ribosomal RNA". It matches the Rfam family "Bacterial small subunit ribosomal RNA", at positions 338 to 696 of the family's 1533-position model. The record is from RNAcentral.
CCUACGGGUGGCAGCAGUCGAGAAUCAUUCACAAUGGGGGAAACCCUGAUGGUGCGACGCCGCGUGGGGGAAUGAAGGUCUUCGGAUUGUAAACCCCUGUCAUGUGGGGGCAAAUUAAAAAGAUAGUACCACAAGUGAAAGAGACUGCUAACUCUGUACCAGCAGCCUCAGUAAUACAGAGGUCUCACGCGUUGUUCGGAAGUACUGGGCGUAAAGCGUGCGUAGGCUGUUUCGUAAGUCGCGUGUGAAAGGCGCGGGCUCAACCCGGGGAUGGCACAUGAUACUGGGAGACUAGAGUAAUUGAGGGGGAACCGGAAUUCUCGGUGUAGCAGUGAAAUGCGUAGAUA